RNAcentral lists this ribosomal RNA (668 nucleotides) under Tettigonia chinensis. Its description in RNAcentral is "partial 12S ribosomal RNA". It matches the Rfam family "Microsporidia small subunit ribosomal RNA", at positions 324 to 1311 of the family's 1311-position model. Lineage: Eukaryota; Metazoa; Arthropoda; Insecta; Orthoptera; Tettigoniidae. The record is from RNAcentral.
UAAUCAAGGAAACUUGGAUUUAGCAAUAUAAUAUGAAAUCGGCUAAGUUCGUGCCAGCUGCCGCGGUUAUACGUGAGAUUUAAGUAAACAUUAUUAGUGGAAAGUUAGUAGUUUUUGGUUAGUUUGGAAUAAGUUUUUAAGGUAGAAUUUUAAAUUUAUAUGUAUAUCUAAAAAAGUAUUAUACGAAGCUUUGAAAUUUAAAUUAUAAACUAGGAUUAGAUACCCUAUUAUUUUUAAAUGUAAAGAGUAUACACUAGGGUAGUAAUAGAUAAGUGCUUGAAACCCAAAGAAUUUGGCGGUGUUUUAGUCUUUUCAGAGGAAUCUGUCCUGUAAUUGAUAAUACACAUUAUAGUCGAUUUGCCUUUGUUUUCAGUUUGUAUACCGCCGUCGGAAGAUUAUUUUAAUAGAAAAAUAAUUUUCGAAUAUUUUUAUUAGGAUUUAUGUCAGGUCAAGGUGCAGCUUAUAGGUAAGGAGAGAUGGAUUACAAUAAAAGGAUUUAUAUGGAUUUUACAUUGGAAAGUGUAGAUGAAGGUGGAUUUGAAAGUAAUAUUGUUAUAUUAUGACAGUUUGAUUUUAGCUCUAAAACAUGCACACAUCGCCCGUCGCUCUCAUUAAUAAGGUGAGAUAAGUCGUAACAAAGUAGGUGUACUGGAAAGUGUACCUAGAAG